RNAcentral lists this transfer RNA (68 nucleotides) under human gut metagenome. It matches the Rfam family "tRNA", at positions 5 to 66 of the family's 71-position model. From Rfam's summary of the family: Transfer RNA (tRNA) molecules are approximately 80 nucleotides in length. Their secondary structure includes four short double-helical elements and three loops (D, anti-codon, and T loops). RNAcentral also lists the same sequence under 6 other names. The record is from RNAcentral.
GCUUAGCUCAGCUGGUUCAGAGCGUCUGCCUUACAAGCAGAGGGUCGGCGGUUCGAAUCCGUCAGCGC